RNAcentral lists this ribosomal RNA (250 nucleotides) under Salmonella enterica subsp. enterica serovar Livingstone. Its description in RNAcentral is "partial 23S ribosomal RNA". It matches the Rfam family "Bacterial large subunit ribosomal RNA", at positions 659 to 908 of the family's 2925-position model. Lineage: Bacteria; Pseudomonadati; Pseudomonadota; Gammaproteobacteria; Enterobacterales; Enterobacteriaceae. The record is from RNAcentral.
AGGGGAGCCGGAGGGAAACCGAGUCUUAACCGGGCGUUAAGUUGCAGGGUAUAGACCCGAAACCCGGUGAUCUAGCCAUGGGCAGGUUGAAGGUUGGGUAACACUAACUGGAGGACCGAACCGACUAAUGUUGAAAAAUUAGCGGAUGACCUGUGGCUGGGGGUGAAAGGCCAAUCAAACCGGGAGAUAGCUGGUUCUCCCCGAAAGCUAUUUAGGUAGCGCCUCGUGAACUCAUCUCCGGGGGUAGAGC